RNAcentral lists this transfer RNA (76 nucleotides) under Bdellovibrionales bacterium. Its description in RNAcentral is "tRNA-Ala". It matches the Rfam family "tRNA". From Rfam's summary of the family: Transfer RNA (tRNA) molecules are approximately 80 nucleotides in length. The record is from RNAcentral. Lineage: Bacteria; Pseudomonadati; Bdellovibrionota; Bdellovibrionia; Bdellovibrionales.
GGGGGUGUAGCUCAACUGGGAGAGCAUCUGAUUUGCAUUCAGAAGGUCGCAGGUUCGAUCCCUGUCACCUCCACCA